CUCAGGAGACGGGCCCGCACCUCUCUCUUCUGGAUCAGAUAGAGAGAGAGAGGAUUUGGCGUCUUCUCUCUAAAAAAAAAAAGAAAAAAAUGUUAAGGAUUUUAUAAGUUGGCGGAUUUCGUGAAGGGUUUGGAUAGAGUCUCGAAGAAUUAGAAGAUGAAGAUUGACGAAAAGAAUUGAAGUUUUAUGAUCAAAGACCCUUGAGAACUCAGGUAUGAUUAGAAACAAUUUGUGGUGAAGUUUUCAUCAAGUCUUCGGUGAGGAUGUUUGAUGUGGACACGCGAUGUUCGUCCUAUGAGCAUAGUCUGGGUGUGAUUAGUGAAACUACUUUCAUCAAGUCUUCGGUGCAGCUUCAGUCACAGCGUUCUCCUCCACGACGUUCGUCUCAGCAGCGUUCCACUCCACCUCCUGGUCCUUCUCGCCCUUCGGCAGAGGUGUCUGAGGAAGAAAUGUCCGUCUCUUCUGUUUAUCGGGAACAACAAAGGUUAUCUCUCGAGCAAGAACGCAUCUCGGGCGAACUUCGACGGAUUUCUGAGGAUCAAGCUCGCAU
Molecule: long non-coding RNA, 550 nt
Filed under: Ananas comosus (pineapple)
Lineage: Eukaryota; Viridiplantae; Streptophyta; Magnoliopsida; Poales; Bromeliaceae
Description: long non-coding RNA (ACOM_LNC012453)
Source: RNAcentral